This 597-nucleotide ribosomal RNA is filed under the name Xiphinema sp. 801S-006. RNAcentral describes it as "SSU rRNA". It matches the Rfam family "Eukaryotic small subunit ribosomal RNA", at positions 1024 to 1643 of the family's 1831-position model. The record is from RNAcentral. Lineage: Eukaryota; Metazoa; Nematoda; Enoplea; Dorylaimida; Longidoridae.
UUCUAACCGUAAACGAUGACAACCAGCGAUUAGUCGGUGUUAAUAUACGACCCGACUAGCAGCUUCCGGGAAACCAAAGUUUUUCGUUUCCGGGGGAAGUAUGGUUGCAAAGCUGAAACUUAAAGGAAUUGACGGAAGGGCACCACCAGGAGUGGAGCCUGCGGCUUAAUUUGACUCAACACGGGAAAACUCACCCGGCCCGGACACCGUAAGGAUUGACAGACUGAGAGCUCUUUCUUAAUUCGGUGGGUGGUGGUGCAUGGCCGUUCUUAGUUGGUGGAGCGAUUUGUCUGGUUAAUUCCGAUAACGAACGAGACUCUGGCCUAUUAAAUAGUCGGUAUAUUCAGAAAAGUUUACCGUACUUCUUAGAGGGACAAACGGCGUCUAGCCGCGUGAAAUAGAGCAAUAACAGGUCUGUGAUGCCCUUAGAUGUCCGGGGCUGCACGCGCGCUACACUGAAAGAAUCAGUAUGCGCUUUAACCUAGUCCGGAAGGAUUGGGUAACCCGAGCAAAUUCUUUCGUGCUUGGGAUAGGGAAUUGCAAUUAUUUCCCUUAAACGAGGAAUUCCCAGUAAAUGCGGGUCAUAAGCUCGCGUUG